AUUUGAAAAAAGCCCAUUUGUGUAGUUGUAUACUGUACGUGAGCUGUUUAUAGGAAAUAAUAUGAAAUACGAGAAUCAAGUCUUUUCGAAGUUUUCGGAAGACUACAGGAAGACCUACCAUGGCGGGACAACAAGGAAGGUUCAUCCAAAGAGAAGUUGUCUGCUUCUUAUGUGGGAACUCCGGUCAUUUCGCUUCCGGUUGCGCAGCAAGGUUACAGCCAUCACUUGCGCAGAACGCAACCUUUACAGGACCCAUGGGAAGUAACUUCUCGCGACUGCCGUCAGGUCCAGUCACCUCAUCAGAGACCACAACGAACAAGCCCCAAUCAGCAGAUAAGCAAUGCCAGUGAUUUUCAAUGUUUGUUUAAUACUGAGAGGUGGAAUGAUGUUAGAAGACAUUCGAAAUUCGUUCAACCAGACCUGUUCUCAGCAGUUAAAGAAGCAUGUAUACGUGGGAAGGAACCAUCCACAAAACGGAAUUAUUCUCUCGCCUUCAAGAAUUUUAGUAAGUGGUGCGAAAAAAUGAAACUUUCAAAUUUACCUCUUCUCCUACAACCGUAGCGCUUUAUUUAGUGUCUACUAUUCAAGGCGAACAUUUGUGUAGUAAAUCUAAACUAAAUUCUAUUUUUUAUGCUAUUAAUUGGGCGCAUAAUUUGUCGUUUUCAUUAAAUCCUUGUACCGAUGAGUGGCUAAAAUUAUGUUUAAACGGUUGCAUAAGAAUUGCUUUAAAGCCUAUUAGCAAGAAGGAGCCUAUUACCACAGAUAUUUUAAAACAGUUUAUCACGCACUUUGCUGCUGAGAACAGUUCCUUGUUAGACUUGAGAUUAACGUGUUUAUUUGUUUUGACAUUCGCAGGAUUUUUUCGUAUUAGUGAAUCUUUGAAUAUCAAAAGAUCAGACAUUCAAUUCUUUGACACGCAUUGUGAAAUCUUCGUAGAAAAAUCAAAGACUGAUGUUUUAAGGGACGGAAACACUGUUGUUAUUGCUUGUACGGGACAUUUCUCCAGUCCCGUUUUAAUUCUUGAGAGGUACUUGUUGGAAGCUGAAAUAAAACCAGAAUCAAAAUAAUUCAUAUUUAGACAAGUGCACUUUUGUAAAACUAAACAUAAAUACAUUUUGCGUAAAAAAUCUACCAAUCCACUUUCUUACUCCUCUGUACGUGACUUGUUUAAAGACAGAAUUGCAAAGUUAGGUCUUGAUCCUUCUAGGUAUAGUUUACAUAGCUUUCGUUCUGGUGUUGCUAGUGUUACAGCUAACAACAAUACCUCAGAGAGAUUGUGGCAGAGACAUGGGAGAUGGAAAUCUGUUUCAGCUAGGGAUGGAUAUGUAAAAGACACUCUUAAAGACCGUCUCUCAGUCUCUUUGAAUUUAGACUUAUAAACAUGUACUUAUCUUGUGUGUGAUAAGUGAUUGCUAUGUAGAAUUAACAUUGUAUUUGUAUUAGAGAGAAUGUGUUUUGAAAAUAGAUCAAUGAUAUUUUCAAAUAAUUAAUAUUUCCAUUAUUUCUAUUAGAAUAUAAUGAACUAAAAGCUAUUUCUUGUUUCAUGAUUCAUUUGAUUCGACGUAAUAGAUUCAGUUUCAUAGCUUUUUGUGCGUGUUCGCAAGAGGCAGUUGUUACAUGACGACUAAAUGUUGUCAUUACUUAUGCUCUGCAAGUAACGGAAUAACACUUUGUAUGUGCUCUGGCGGAAUGUCACCUAUUUAUUUUUCUUUUUUUUGCUGUGCUAGUGGCGGAAUGCCACAUGGCGGCGGAAUGUUACCACUUUGUGUUCUGCAUGUGUCUGAAUGCUACCUUUAAUUUAUGUGCUCUGCGAGUGGCGGAAUGCCACGUGGUGAUGGAAUGUCACCGUUGUUUUGUGCUCUGCAAUUGGCGGAAUGCUACCCAUUUUUUAUGUGCUCUGCAGUGGCGGAAUGCCACGUGGUAAUGGAAUGUCACCAUUUUUUGUGCUCUGCAAGUGGCGGAAUGCUAUUCAUUUUGCAUGUGCUCUGCAAGUGGCGGAAUGCCACGUGGUGAUGGAAUGUCACCAAUUUGUGCUCUGCAAGUGGCGGAAUGCUACUUAUUUUUUAUGUGCUCUGCAAGUGGCUGAAUGCCACGUGGUGACGGAAUGUCACCAAAUGGUGCUCUGCAAGUGGCGGAAUGCCACGUGGUGACGGAAUGUCAUCACUUCUUGUGUGCUCUGCAAGUGGUGGAUGGUCACAGCUGCUUUGUGCCCAGCAAUUAGUGGUACGUUUUUCAGUAUACAUAACAAUUUUCAUCAUAUGCAUUGAAAAAUAUUUAACCAACAGUACAAUUUAGUGUACAAUAUUAAAGAGGUGCCUUUUUUAAAUCAUGUAAUUAUUCAUAUUCUGCAAAUAGAAUGAUUCUUUAUUUGUUAUAGAUAAAAUUAAAAGCAUUUAAGAUGAUUCUUUGAUCUAAUAUCUCGAGUUUUUAAUAGUUUCUGAUUCAACCGUUUUUUUAUUUGUAAUUUUUGACAAUUGAUUUUUUGAACUUGUAUACGGCAUCAUUUCAUUGUCAAUAUAUUAAAAUGCUUAGUCGAUCAUUUUGUUUCAAUGGUGUUUCACAGUCUAUUUCAGACGAAACUAAUUUCAUAAACAGUAAAGAUACAGCGUUUGUGCUGGAAGUCUUCAUUUUCUGUCGAUUGAAGUCUAUAUGGGAACAAAAUUAUCAUCUAGACGAGGUUGAUACUUAAAGGAGACAACAUGGAAUGGUUAUGAUAAUUGUAUCCGUAUAAGUAUAUUUUAAAUAUAAAUUUUAUUACUGUCUUUGUUUGCUCGAUAUUUGCUGCCAAAUAUAUACCUUAAACCUAUUCAUGUUUUGGUUUUAUGUUAUUAGUUAAUUGAGAUAAGAGAAUAAUUAAUUUACUCACAGCUUUAGCGUGAGUAAAUGUAAUUAUUAUCGCUUCGAAAUUAACUAUCCUUCAUUAGUUUUAUACUUCAUUGGUUUCUAUUGUAUAUGUUUUGGCGGGUUUUUGCACGAACAUUUCGUGCAAUUCUGCCAGUAUAUAUAGGUUUUUUUCGCGCUUUAUCUCCACUCGAGGUUAAAAUUUGGCAGCAAACAUACG
This is a long non-coding RNA of Mercenaria mercenaria, 3061 nucleotides long. RefSeq lists it as uncharacterized. Lineage: Eukaryota; Metazoa; Mollusca; Bivalvia; Venerida; Veneridae. The record is from RefSeq and is a predicted model, not a curated record. The transcript is spliced from 3 exons.